This 23-nucleotide small nuclear RNA is filed under the name Arabidopsis thaliana (thale cress). RNAcentral describes it as "snRNA_18670". The record is from RNAcentral. Lineage: Eukaryota; Viridiplantae; Streptophyta; Magnoliopsida; Brassicales; Brassicaceae.
AUACAUAUACACAUAUAUAUAGA